UACGUAGGUGGCAAGCGUUGUCCGGAUUUACUGGGCGUAAAGAGCGCGCAGGCGGUCGGAUAAGUCGAAUGUGAAAGCCCCUGGCUCAACCAGGGAGGGUCAUUCGAUACUGUUCGACUCGAAGGCAGGAGAGGGAAGUGGAAUUCCGGGUGUAGUGGUGAAAUGCGUAGAUAUCGGGAGGAACACCAGUGGCGAAGGCGACUACCUGGCCUGUUCUUGACGCUGAGGCGCGAAAGCUAGGGGAGCAAACGGG
Molecule: ribosomal RNA, 253 nt
Filed under: uncultured bacterium
Lineage: Bacteria
Description: partial 16S ribosomal RNA
Rfam family: Bacterial small subunit ribosomal RNA
Source: RNAcentral